This is a long non-coding RNA of Oxyura jamaicensis (ruddy duck), 319 nucleotides long. RefSeq lists it as uncharacterized. Lineage: Eukaryota; Metazoa; Chordata; Aves; Anseriformes; Anatidae. The transcript has 3 exons. The record is from RefSeq and is a predicted model, not a curated record.
CAAAAGACGAGAGUAAUCAGAGGGGCAAACCAGGUUGGGAAGGUUUCUGGCAAUAUCCCUGACCCAGGCCCCAGGGAGGCAGCACACUUCCCUAUGGGUAGGGUCAGGCUGAGAUAUAGGGCCUUCUGUUCCCCUGAGAAGGGUGUCACCUACAACAAUGACCCUUUCUUUCUUGGUGGAGACAGUCUUGAGGCAUGGAGUCAACUUCCUUGCCCUAGGCAACCUCCUGGGUGGACUUUUGACCACAUCCUCACCCACCAGUCUCUCCAGCUCCAAGGCCUCAAACCUGUUGUGUAAGGGCACCUGGGAAGGCUAGGCU